Molecule: small RNA, 890 nt
Filed under: Histoplasma ohiense
Lineage: Eukaryota; Fungi; Ascomycota; Eurotiomycetes; Onygenales; Ajellomycetaceae
Description: hypothetical lncRNA
Source: RNAcentral
ACCUGAUCACGAUCCUUUGAGUUGCACAAUGUUCUAACAAUCUACACCAAGCAUUUUCGAUAAUAUAAUGUCCUAUUCUAUACUGUGCCUCUCCAACUUCAAUCGCCAAGCUUUGUGCCAAUGCGAAAGGCCUACCUAGGCGACGGCUUCCCUGCAGUGACUCAUGGUCUUGCGGACAGAAACAUCCAAGUUGUUGAGCAUCGGGAGAUCUUGAACCGGCGAUUCGGGUAUCCUGUGGUCAUUUUUGUAAUCUAAAUGUGAUUUCGAUUAACACCGCCAGUUACUGAUUCAAGUAUUAGUUGUUACUUGGGGGUUGUCUGACUCUAAUCUUUCUGAAGUGGGCGAUCUCCUUGCUUCUCAUGGCUUUCAACCUGGUGGAAUGUCAAAGAUCCAGGAACAAUUUCAUGGUGUGUCAGAGGCUGGGGGAUUGACGUUUCAACAUGGCCUCGCCGGAUUAUAUUUAUUACCUCUUUCGUUUCUUCGCCUUUCCCUGGAUGACUGUUAAGAGGCCGUUUCAUCUGUGGACUCACGAUACAAGACCCUAAUUCCAAAGCUACAGCCGUAUUUUAUUUCCUUGAUCAGCAGACUUGUGGCUCUACCACCUAGGGAAAUGUGUCGAAAUCCAAUUGAACAUAAUUUGAUGGUUCUAUUCGAAUUUGCUAUCUUCCCCAGACUACUAGAGGGUGAAAAUGAAGAACAUGGAGUCGGAAGAACACUUUUAACAGCGAGUUGAGCAAGCACUGUCCCAUGUCUGUGAGUGGGAUUGAAAACCUGACGAAAUAAAGUACCUUGACAUUACGGAAACUCUCAUUUGAGAUUGCAGACUGGAUUCAAAAAUAUCGGAAUGUAAUUGAUAGAGAUCCAUUGUCAUAGAGAAUAAUACAAGCCCU